AAGUCGUAACAAGGUUUCCGUAGGUGAACCUGCGGAAGGAUCAUUAUCGAGUUUUGAAACGGGUUGUAGCUGUCCUUCGCAAGGAGGUACGUGCACGCCUUGCUCAUCCACUCUCAAACCCCUGUGCACUUUUUGUAGGCUUGGUCGGAUAGGCUGACUUCGGUCGGCUUUGAAAGCCUCGCCUAUGUAUUAAAACAAACGCUUCAGUUCAGAAUGUAACCUUGCAUAAUAAGCAAAAUAAAUAUAACUUUCAGCAACGGAUCUCUUGGCUCUC
Molecule: unclassified non-coding RNA, 274 nt
Filed under: air metagenome
Description: partial contains small subunit ribosomal RNA, internal transcribed spacer 1, and 5.8S ribosomal RNA
Rfam family: Eukaryotic small subunit ribosomal RNA (bases 1-46)
Source: RNAcentral